Molecule: long non-coding RNA, 1912 nt
Filed under: Homo sapiens (human)
Lineage: Eukaryota; Metazoa; Chordata; Mammalia; Primates; Hominidae
Description: HSALNT0070387
Source: RNAcentral
ACAUCGUUUGGAAGCAAAACCACAUUUUUUUCAAAAAGAAUUUUUUUUAAAGGAAAUUUUACAUGCAGUGAAGUCAAGGCUUAACUCUUGAGAGGAAGCAGUACAGGGACAGUCAUUGGGUCUUUGCUGAUGGAACGCUUGCUCUGAGUGGAGGGUAAAGGCCACACUUUGUCCCAUUCCCCUGAUGCACAGCACAUGGGAUAUUUACUGUCCUAUUAGCAAAAGCAAGUCGUACAAGCUCCAAGUCAAUGUGGGUGGGGACUGGACAAGAGUAUGGAUACAGGAGGAAGCCCUGGCUCCAUUGGAAGCCAUCACUGUAACUGCCAACCCACAAGAUAUGACCUGAGACUCCUCAGGCCUCCCCAGACUAUAGGAAAGAUGGUAGUAUGGCCAUAGAGUCUAAAUGGAAAAGCAGACACCAUUUCCAGGUUUUACAACAGAAGCAAUGGUUUAUGCUGGUGAUGGAAGGGCAGAGGACCAAAGGGAACAGUGCAACAGCCCAGGGAUGAGCAAUGGCAGGAGGUCACUACUUCUCUGAGAUUGGAGAGGCAAAGAGAAGACACCAACUAAUAGAGUCCAGAGACCAGGGUGACAUGGUACAAACUACAGUCAUAAUGGACCUGUCUGAUGGGAGCUGGAGCCAUGGAGAAGACAGAGCCACUGAGGGAGAAGCCACCCAAGACUGAGAGGGAGUAAGAGCAGAAGCCUGGCUUCUUCCUUCCUUCCAACCCCUCAUCUCCUGCCAGUGCCUUUUAUGGGCUGCACCUGGCCAGAACCCACUACUCUAGGAGCCUCUGAAACACAGCCUGCAAGGGUAGCCCCCUGUAAUAGACAGUAGGAGCAAUUCAAGGAAUGGAUCUGGGGCGGAGAGGCCCAGGACCAGCCCAUGGAGCACAUUCACAGUAAUAACCCAAAUAUUACCCCUGCUUUAUCAAGUAAGACUCUUUCCUCCCCACACAGUCCCACUGUAAUUUCUGUGCAUCUCUGUGGGUAUUUCUUAUGAGCAUAAGAAAAACUUUGAGGUUGACAUCCAAAAGCCAUUGAGAAGGGGCGUCUCCCAGCCUGAGAAUGCUGCUCUGCCCAGGCUGCUGUCUUCUGCCACCCUGAGGCUGAAAACACUGAUGUGUCAAUGUGGUACUGAACACUCCCACAUCCUCCUUGAGACUGAACCUCACUAGCCCACUCAGAAGUGGAGAGAUGCCUUUUCCACCCUGCCAUUCUCUUUAUAACAGUCCUUUAUAAAAAUAAUUCAUUCAGCCCCUCCUCAGACACUAUCUCUGAGACCAGGUCGAGGAGCACUGUACAAGGCUGACUCCCCAUUCCCCCAUCUGGUAGCAUCUGACCAAACCAUUCCCACAUCCACCUUCCACCAGCAUACCUCCCUGCAAAUCCACUCCUGGAUGUUCACCUCCCCUUUACCAGACACAUCCAGUCAUACAUGGAUAAAUCCCUGAUGGGUUUGAGCUGGGACCACACACUCAAACACACAUGCGUGCAUGCAUACAUAUGUACACACAAGUAUGUGCUCACAUCAUUACUACCACAACCUCUGCAAGAGUGCACAAGAAAUGAGAAAAAUGAUCACUGAUUAACACCUCCAAUGUGUCACAUAGUUUAUACUUAACUCCUUUACUCCUGAAGAAAACCCUACAAAUAGGCCUGAUUCUCAUUUACAGGUGAGAAAACUGAGGUGCAUAUUUCUGUGACUGGCUCUAGCUUACACAGUAAAGAAACAAUAAGAUCAAGAUCUUAAGUCAGGUCUACAGAAUACCAAAAUCCAUAUCCUUCCCCUACCACGUUGUCUUUCAACCUAUAUGAACAACCUAUAUGAACAGCAUUUUAUUCUUGUCUUGGCACUAUUUCUUAUUGUCCUAGUAAGAUUGAAUAAACUGUUAUUUCUAAGCCUUCUUAU